CCUAGCUGUGCCCCCUCCUCUCUUAUAUAGGCGUCCUCCAAUCAGCCCCGAGUUGGAGGCGCAAUUAGAAAACCCUUAGCCUCUUCUAAUUCGGGUCCAACCCAAAUUAGGCUUCCAGCCCCUUAAGCUUGCGAUCCUAUGGGUUCACAUACAUGUAGACAUGGACCGAGUACUCCUACUCGUCCAAUAGUUGAUAGCAGCCUCUAGCAAGGCGUGACAACUCCUAUAUGCAUGCAAAGAUCAUAUCAGACGAACCACUAGAUACACAUACAUGUUAGUCCCUUGCCACA
Molecule: long non-coding RNA, 290 nt
Filed under: Sorghum bicolor (sorghum)
Lineage: Eukaryota; Viridiplantae; Streptophyta; Magnoliopsida; Poales; Poaceae
Description: long non-coding RNA (SBIC_LNC009533)
Source: RNAcentral